CACACCGCCCGUCACACCAUGGAAGCUGACUGUACCAGAAGUCGCUGGGCUAACCCGCAAGGGGGGCAGGCGCCUAAGGUAUGGUUGGUGACUGGGGUG
Molecule: ribosomal RNA, 99 nt
Filed under: uncultured bacterium
Lineage: Bacteria
Description: partial 16S ribosomal RNA
Rfam family: Bacterial small subunit ribosomal RNA
Source: RNAcentral